CGUACACUCCUGCGGGAGGCAGCAGUGGGGAAUAUUAGACAAUGGGCGCAAGCCUGAUCCAGCCAUGCCGCGUGAGUGAUGAAGGCCCUAGGGUUGUAAAGCUCUUUCACCGGUGAAGAUAAUGACGGUAACCGGAGAAGAAGCCCCGGCUAACUUCGUGCCAGCAGCCGCGGUAAUACGAAGGGGGCUAGCGUUGUUCGGAUUUACUGGGCGUAAAGCGCACGUAGGCGGACUAUUAAGUCAGGGGUGAAAUCCCGGGGCUCAACCCCGGAACUGCCUUUGAUACUGGUAGUCUUGAGUUCGAGAGAGGUGAGUGGAAUUCCGAGUGUAGAGGUGAAAUUCGUAGAUAUUCGGAGGAACACCAGUGGCGAAGGCGGCUCACUGGCUCGAUACUGACGCUGAGGUGCGAAAGCGUGGGGAGCAAACAGGAUUAGAAACCCGGGUAGUCCCAUGA
Molecule: ribosomal RNA, 454 nt
Filed under: uncultured organism
Description: partial 16S ribosomal RNA
Rfam family: Bacterial small subunit ribosomal RNA
Source: RNAcentral